Molecule: ribosomal RNA, 433 nt
Filed under: uncultured Dehalococcoidia bacterium
Lineage: Bacteria; Bacillati; Chloroflexota; Dehalococcoidia
Description: bacterial SSU rRNA
Rfam family: Bacterial small subunit ribosomal RNA
Source: RNAcentral
GGGCAGCAGCAAGGAAUUUUGUGCAAUGGGCGAAAGCCUGACACAGCGACGCCGCGUGGGGGAUGAAGGCUUUCGGGUUGUAAACCCCUUUUCUCAGGGAUGAAUAAUGACAGUACCUGAGGAAUAAGCCAUGGCUAACUACGUGCCAGCAGCAGCGGUAAAACGUAGGUGGCAAGCGUUAUCCGGAUUUAUUGGGCGUAAAGAGGGCGCAGGCGGCUUUUCAAGUCGGAUGUAAAAUCUCUCAGCUUAACUGGGAGGGAUCAUUCGAAACUGCUGGGCUAGAGCGCAACAGGGGGAGGUAGAAUUCCCGGUGUAGUGGUGAAAUGCGUAGAUAUCGGGAGGAAUACCAGUGGCGAAGGCGGCCUCCUGGGUUGUUGCUGACGCUUAUGCCCGAAGGUGUGGGGAGCAAACAGGAUUAGAUACCCUGGUANUC